CGCUGCGGCGUGCCUAAUACAUGCAAGUCGAACGCACUCUCGUUUAGAUUGAAGGAGCUUGCUCCUGAUUGAUAAACAUUUGAGUGAGUGGCGGACGGGUGAGUAACACGUGGGUAACCUGCCCUAAAGUGGGGGAUAACAUUUGGAAACAGAUGCUAAUACCGCAUAAAACCUAACACCGCAUGGUGUAGGGUUGAAAGAUGGUUUCGGCUAUCACUUUAGGAUGGACCCGCGGUGCAUUAGUUAGUUGGUGAGGUAAAGGCUCACCAAGACCGUGAUGCAUAGCCGACCUGAGAGGGUAAUCGGCCACACUGGGACUGAGACACGGCCCAGACUCCUACGGGAGGCAGCAGUAGGGAAUCUUCCACAAUGGACGAAAGUCUGAUGGAGCAACGCCGCGUGAGUGAAGAAGGUUUUCGGAUCGUAAAACUCUGUUGUUGGAGAAGAAUGUAUCUGAUAGUAACUGAUCAGGUAGUGACGGUAUCCAACCAGAAAGCCACGGCUAACUACGUG
This 513-nucleotide ribosomal RNA is filed under the name uncultured bacterium. RNAcentral's name for it is "bacterial SSU rRNA". It matches the Rfam family "Bacterial small subunit ribosomal RNA", at positions 39 to 507 of the family's 1533-position model. The record is from RNAcentral.